UGGGGAAUAUUGGACAAUGGGGGGAACCCUGAUCCAGCCAUGCCGCGUGUGUGAAGAAGGCCUUAUGGUUGUAAAGCACUUUAAGCGAGGAGGAGGGUACUGGUAUUAAUACUACCAGCUACUGGACGUUACUCGCAGAAUAAGCACCGGCUAACUCUGUGCCAGCAGCCGCGGUAAUACAGAGGGUGCGAGCGUUAAUCGGAUUUACUGGGCGUAAAGCGUGCGUAGGCGGCUAAUUGAGUCGGAUGUGAAAUCCCCGAGCUUAACUUGGGAAUUGCAUUCGAUACUGGUUAGCUAGAGUGUUGGAGAGGAUGGUAGAAUUCCAGGUGUAGCGGUGAAAUGCGUAGAGAUCUGGAGGAAUACCGAUGGCGAAGGCAGCCAUCUGGCCUAACACUGACGCUGAGGUACGAAAGCAUGGGGAGCAAACAGG
RNAcentral lists this ribosomal RNA (430 nucleotides) under Pseudomonadota bacterium. RNAcentral describes it as "Proteobacteria bacterium partial 16S ribosomal RNA". It matches the Rfam family "Bacterial small subunit ribosomal RNA", at positions 355 to 776 of the family's 1533-position model. Lineage: Bacteria; Pseudomonadati; Pseudomonadota. The record is from RNAcentral.